This 8196-nucleotide long non-coding RNA is filed under the name Brassica napus (rape). RNAcentral describes it as "long non-coding RNA (BNAP_LNC016706)". The record is from RNAcentral. Lineage: Eukaryota; Viridiplantae; Streptophyta; Magnoliopsida; Brassicales; Brassicaceae.
AAACAAGAUCGGCUCAAACCGUUUUUCUUCCCACUUUCUCUGUUUCACUGACUCUCCACUUACUCAAACAGAAAGGUAGUCAAAACUUUACUGAGUUUUUCCUCUUCAUCGACCCAGUUCCACCUCAACAAUGAACGAAGAGAUGAGCGGAGAGACGCCGGAGAAUAAACAUGUAAGUAGACCAACAUUGCCGGAAAAGAUCGACUACGUGUUCAAGGUGGUAGUGAUUGGUGACUCUGCGGUCGGAAAAACGCAGCUCCUUUCACGUUUUACACAGAACGAGUUCUGUUACGACUCAAAGUCCACCAUUGGUGUCGAGUUUCAGACACGUACGAUCACUCAUCAAGGCAAGCUCGUUAAAGCUCAGAUCUGGGAUACCGCCGGUCAAGAAAGGUAAAUGUCUAUCUACAUCUAUACACACAUUUAACUAUUCUUACAAAGCUGAAUCUCAGGUUGGCUUUCAAAUUAAAUUGUUUACAUAUUUUAAAGUAUAGUUUAUUUUUCUUGGAUCACGACAUUUAGAUAUGAUUUGAUUUGAUUUCCGAUCUACUUAUAAUCAUUGAUUAUACGUUUUUUUUUUUAAACUAUUGGUUUUCUAACUAUUUUGUUAUUAGAACUAAUCAAUGAGUUGUUUUACUGCGUUUUCGGAGAUUAGAUACAGAGCGGUGACAAGCGCGUAUUACAGAGGCGCGUUAGGUGCUAUGGUCGUUUACGACAUAACUAAACGCGUCUCCUUCGACCACGUGGCACGUUGGGUUGAGGACUUGCGAGCUCACGCCGACGACUCCGCCGUGAUUAUGCUCGUCGGAAACAAAGCCGACCUUGCCGCCGAUAAACGCGCCGUCACGACAGAAGACGCCGUCGAGUUCGCCGAGACUCAUCGGCUAUUCUUCUCGGAAGUCUCGGCUCUAAGCGGCGGGAACGUCGACGAAGCUUUUUUCCGUCUGCUAGAGGAGAUUUUCAGCCGCGUUGUUGUUGCGAGAAAAGCUCUGGAAUGUCAGAAUGGGACUACCGCGAAACUUGACGGUUCGAGAAUUGAUGUGAUCAUCUCUGGUUCUGAUCUUGAGACUGGUAAGACGAAUGAACCAGCUUCGUGCUCGUGUUGAUUUUGAGUUUUGAGUGAUGGACUCAAGUAUGGGCCAGAAACCUCGAGACAUAGUGGGACUUUUUUUUUAAUAUCAUUUUACCCAUGUCUUUGUUUAUGGGCUUUUUAUAUAUUUUGUGAAUUGGUGGUACUUAUUCGAUACCGUCUAAAAACUAUUCAUGUCAUAUUUGAUAUCUUUUUUUCUACACCAUUUAUAAUAUUCAUUUAAUAUUAUUGUAUAUGCAAAAAUGGAAGUAUUUUAUACCUUAAACAAACAUUUGAAAUUAUUGACGUUCUUUUUUUUUUGCGCAAACUGAUUUCCAUUAAAUUGAAAAGCUUAAGUUGGGUUUAAGGCCCAUAAAACAUGUUUGACUAUAGAAUCGGCUCAAAGCUCUAGAAAUGAAAGUAAACUUGAUUAUUUUAAAUGAGAACGAUAGGAAAUAGAUGUCACGAAGAAUGCCCUAGAUUUCUAACUUCAUCUCAUGUAUGUUUAUCAUGUUGAUGAGGACAUAAGAAUCAUAAAGCACAGUGAUGAAGUCGAAUCCGUGAUUGAGGGCAAAGUUUAUGGCUGUGAAUACUGCCAUAGUUUCUGCCAUAAGAGCGAGGAGACAAAAGUCUAAGUCGCUGGAUGCUGACGUACAAAUGACAAAAAUUACACGAAAACUGCAUUGCAAAAAGCUUUCUAAUUGCUGUUAUUAGCUGUAAGUCUGUAUAUAUAUAUGCAACUAAUUAAAUCUCAGUUAAAUUUCUAAAGCCACUGUCACGCGAUUUUUAAAAUGACAAUCAAACCUUUUCACUAUAAAUAUUUCACACAUAAGUACUUUACUGUUCUUUGUUUUUUUUCGUCAACAGCUGUUCUUCGUUAAUAGGUUUUCUUCAGCUGUUAUAUGUUAUUACUUAUGAGGAACUGGUAUUACAUAUAGAGAAAAUAUAGAUCGAGAACACCAAAUUAUCAUAAAUAUGGAACUUUGUGAUUAUUAAAAAGUUUUGUUAUACGAUUUUAUGUUCUUUUAAAAGUGUUUAAUGGGGUUGAUUGUAUGAUCACAAUAUAGGUUAUACAUGAUCGUGCGUUCACCCACUCUGAUAUGAUUGUUCAUGGGGAGUUUUGUAUAGAAUUAAGUGAAAUUAUUAGAAUUUACAAUAAGAUCACUAAGCAGAUAUUUUCAUAAUAUUUUUUUAUAAACCCUAUCGGCUGAUCCGGUCGGCCCCGGGAGGAACGCGAUUAGUGAAAUAUUUUCAUAAUAUUUUUCAUGACAUCAACUGUGAGUGUCACUUAGAAUCUCGAAUAUAAUCCAAAUCCGACAUAAGAUAUGAUUCUCUUAUUUUUGCAUUCAACCGAAUAAUCUGAAGUGCUCCAAUCGCAAACUCGUUUUCUCGCCCAUGACCUAAAAAUGGUCUUUUAUAUAAUGCGCAUAUGAUUAAUCCGCCACCAAAGUGCUUUGUGACCACUUAUUUACUUAUUUAUAUGCUGAUAACUCUGUGUUAUGUGUAAAGUUACUAAUUAGUUUAAUAUUUAUAAGCAAGAGUAAGAUUCUCAUGAUAAACAUUUAAAUUAGUAUCUCCAGUAUGAUUGUAUUCAAUAAGUAUUAGCUGAAUUAAGCUAGUUGAUAGUAUAUCAUAAUUUUGACAAAUUUAACGUAACAAUUUUCAUAAUCAUUUACUGCUGUUAGAAACCUGUGUUAUAAUUAUAACUUUCCUUUUUGGGUCAAAAUUACAACUUUCUAUACAUAAAAGAGAUAACUUAAAGGAAAGGCAGUUGACUUGAGAAUAUAAAGUCAAUUGGAGAGCAAUUUGCAGGAGAAAAGUCAUAAAAGUCGUACAUUCGCCACUUGUAAUUAACAAGAGAAUCAUCGGAAAAUGGCAUCUUUGAAAAUAAUAUUGGUAAUUACGUAUACAUAUUGUUUAUAAUUUUUUAAAAAUAUAUUAUUUAUAUUGUUUUUAAGCAUAUAUCGUCUUUUGUUAUUAAGCACUACGUUAAGAUAUGCAAGUUACUUUAUUAAGAUGCAUAUAUACUCACUUCUAUUACAUAUAUAUGGUAAUAUAUAUAUGUUUCUAAAACAUAGUAUUAUAUAUGCAAACAAAGUAGAAUAUUAAUCAAUUUUAAAACUAGUUACAAUUUUUAAAAAAAAAUUAGACAACUUUUUACAAAUGAAACCAAUGGGACAGGUGUAGGAAUAGUGUCUUCAAUAUGUGUAUAGAUUAGAAAAUCUUUUGAGGAUAUAGUCAUUUGAGUGUAGCAAACAUAACAUGACAUAUGCAUAUGAUGACCACAAGUGCAUAUUGGCAGCAUAUACCCGUUUGAGCACCUACAUAUAACUUUGAACUAAUAAAUAUUUAAAUGUAUAUGAAAAACCUUUCGAAUGAUAAAUGAUUAAAUUUUAAACCAAACUAUGAUCUGGCAUUGGCUAAUAGCUUCACACUUCGUUGGCACGUCUAUUUAAAGCUUCACAAAGACGCGAACUUAAAUCACAACCCGAAAACGAAAAAUAUCACAAGAAAAGAAAAAAAAACCAUUUAUUCAGUAUGUUUUCUCUGGGUAUGAGAACCGAAAUAGAAAAUCUGUGGGUCUUUGCUCUUGCAUCAAAAUGCAAUAUUUUCAUUCAAGAACAUUUUAUUUCUCUUCUCAUCGCCGUAGCCAUCACUUGGUUUACCUUCACCAUCGUAUUUUGGUCUACACCUGGUGGACCGGCUUGGGGAAGAUACUUUUUCACUCGCCGGUUUACUUCCGGCUGUAACCAAAAAAACAAGAAUCUCAUUCCCGGUCCGAGAGGGUUUCCACUCGUGGGAAGCAUGAGCCUAAGGUCAAGCCGCGUAGCUCACCAGCGCAUAGCAGCAGUGGCUGCGAUGAGAAACGCCAAGCGGCUCAUGGCGUUUAGCCUCGGUGAUACCAAGGUGAUGGUGACGUGUCAUCCUGACGUGGCAAAGGAGAUACUGAACAGCUCGGUGUUUGCAGACCGACCUGUUGACGAAACCGCUUAUGGUUUGAUGUUUAACCGAGCCAUGGGAUUCGCUCCAAAUGGUGCUUACUGGCGUACGCUACGUCGGUUAGGUUCGAACCAUCUUUUCAACCCAAAGCAAAUCAAACGCUCGGAGGAGCAGAGACGAGUGAUCGCGACUCAGAUGGUGAAUGUAUUUGCACGUAACGCUGAAACCGCGUUUGGAGUACGUGAUUUGCUAAAAACGGCGUCGUUGUCUAACAUGAUGGGUUUAGUUUUCGGGAAACAGUAUGAACUGGAGUCUAAUAACAACGUUGAGUCGGAAUGCUUGAAGGGUUUGGUUGAAGAGGGGUACGAUCUUCUCGGUACACUUAACUGGACCGACCACCUUCCUUGGUUAGGCGGUCUAGAUUUUCAACAAGUCCGGUUCAGAUGCUCUCAGCUUGUACCGAAAGUAAACCAGUUAUUGAGCCGAAUCAUUCAUGAACACCGUGCACCUACGUGCAGUUUUCUCGACGUGUUACAUUCUCUUCAUGAUUCAGAAAAAUUAUCAGAAUCCGACAUGGUCGCUGUUCUUUGGGUACGUAAACAUUAUAUAAUUCUUGUAAUAUGUAGAACAUGGACAUUAAUAUUUCAAAUUUUUGGUCCCUUUAGGAAAUGAUAUUUAGGGGGACGGACACAGUGGCCGUGCUGAUCGAGUGGGUGCUAGCGAGGAUUGUAAUGCAUCCUAAAGUUCAGUCAACGGUCCACGAUGAGCUUGACCGAGUCGUUGGCAGAUCCAAAGCCGUUGAUGAGUCUGACCUCCCAUCUCUCACGUAUCUAACGGCUAUGAUCAAAGAAGUGUUGAGGCUGCAUCCACCAGGCCCACUUCUCUCUUGGGCUCGUCUCUCCAUAACGGACACCACCGUAGACGGAUAUCACGUGCCGGCUGGGACCACCGCGAUGGUCAACAUGUGGGCUAUAGCACGUGAUCCACACGUGUGGGAGAAUCCUUUGGAGUUUAAGCCUGAGAGGUUCGUGGCAAAAGAGGGUGAAGCUGAGUUCUCUGUUCUCGGGUCGGAUAUGAGGUUGGCACCCUUCGGGUCGGGUAAGAGAGUUUGCCCGGGAAAGAAUUUGGGGCUUGCGACGGUUUCGUUUUGGGUUGCAACGCUCUUGCAUGAGUUUGAGUGGCUUUCUAGUGUCAACGCUAACCCUCCUGAUCUUUCAGAUGUUUUGAGGCUGUCGUGCGAGAUGGCUUGUCCUCUUGUCGUUAACUUACGCUCAAGGCGUAAGAUAGCAUAAGCUUCGGUUUAGUCAAUGCACGAAUGCUUCAAAGUUAUUGGCAAAUUAAAAAAACACGUAUUCUAAUAAAACCUGGAAAACUGAUAUGUAUGCAAAGUCCAAAGUGCGAUGUAUAUUCGCCCAUCUUUUAUUGAUUAAGGGAACAUAUUAAUGUAUUUGUAUUAUAUGAAAUAAAUUUAAUAUAUGUUUCAUGCGUACGGUUUGAUGGUGAGUAAUGUUGUUAAUUUUAUUAACCAACGCAGUAGUACGGUAGUCUCGGCUCUAAAAAAACUUAAACACGUUUCAGUUUUACGUGGGCCAUUUGGUUAUUUGAACUUAAACUCAUGUGUUUGUUUCGUUAUGAACUAGUGAGAAAUUCCUUGUAAAAAUUUGUUGGCGUGAGUCGCAUGUUUCGGCUAACCUUCGGUAUGCAAUGCUAAAUCUACAGAAAAUACAAUUUGUACAUUAACUAGUGGUCGCUAUUUAAUUUAACUUAACUAACUUUUCUUAGAUAUAAGAGUUCUAAGAUAUUGGUAAUAUAUAACUAAUUAAAGUUCACUUAUCUUCAAAUGAAUUCAACGAUCAUCCUAGGAAUUAUUCCACUUAACUAAAAUAAAUAACUCUAUACUUCGCGUGUUGAACGAUUAACUGAAUUAUCUUCUCCAGCUUUAAUUAUAUCCUACUCCCAAUUGUAUAAAAUAAUAUGCUUAAUUUGCUACGAAGUUUCUUAGAAGAGCUAGGUCAGUCAACGAUUUUACUAAUGAAACAAGCAUUUGGCUGAAAUUGUGUAUAAUAGGUGUCGUCGUCGAGUGUUCGACUCAGCUAGUGUUUCUGGUUGUUCCAUUACGUGAUCUCAUUAACGCUUGUGUAAUGGACUUAUCACUUCUGAACUUCUAGCAUUUUUAUUUUGUUGUUGACCAACGCAUUAGUCCUCUUAUAUCAGUUUGUUUAUUUAACAUUCGGCAAAUACAUAUCUGACUUCCACUUUUGUUGGUGAAAACAACUUAAACACAUAUCUGACUGCUUACAAACUGUUAAGGUGAUAAAAGAAGAUAAAAAGAUUAGCCGAUUUGACAAUCUGAGAUAGAUGAUUUCUUAUAUUUUUGUUUUACUUUUAUAGAAUUUUUUCCUAUUUCUUUCAGUGCUCAACUCCUUGCUAAAAGAAUCGCAUUUUCUGGAUAAAUGUUAUUGAGUAUGAAUUAAGUCAUGAGGCUUGCCUACUUGAAUUAACGUAUAAUAUAUGGAAUUAUUUGCCAUUAAAAAAUAUUGACACUGAGUCAUUGGCGUUAAGUGGAUAAUCAUGAAUAAUGCAGUUAAUAAAUUUCUUUUACAUGCUACCACAAAGUAUAUACGGCAAUACCGAAUUACAAACUUUGUGUAAAACAACUGUUGGUCAAGACCUCUGUUUACCAGAUGAAAUCGAAAACCCAGAUUCACACAAAACUCUCGGCUCUCUUUUUGGGGGUGGGGAGGAAGAAGGAGAAAGGGGUCUCUUCAGAUUUGUGGUCUGGUUUGGUUUAAUCUGGAGGAGACGACUGCUUUUUCGCAUCUACUGUUGAAUCAUUUUUAAUUAAUUAAUUGUAUCAUUUGGAUCUUUUCAGGAGCUCUCGUUAUAAGAGGCCCUGGUUGAUUUUUAGCCCAUUGUUUUCACAUCUUUAUCUUGUCCUCUUUAUUGGGCCCUGCAGAUUUUUGUUGUUAUAUUCGAAAGAUUGAUGGUUUUUUGGUCCAGAAAUAUUGAUGUUUUAGAAUUUUAAUUGAUGUGUUUUACUUUAAAACUAAAACAUAUACUAUUUAAAUAUAAAAAUAUGAUUAUCUGAAAUUUAUUAGAAAACAUAUAAAAAUUUAAACUAAAAUAAGAGAAAUUUCCUAGGAUAGUCUUUUAAAAAACAAAUUGUCACAAAAAUAGCCCUGAAAAUGACCAAAAUAAGUUUUACCCUAGAGUUAACCAAUUUAAACUUAGGGUUUAGAGUUAAAUAGUGAAGUUUUGGGGAUAUAAUUUCAAAUUAAAAUUAAAAUAAAAAUAAAAAAUAAAUGUUAAAAUUUUCAAAAUAAAAAAAGGACUAUUUUGAUUUUUUUUUUUUUUUUGAAGGUUAUUUUUGUGACAAAAACUUAAAAAUUGUUAUUUACAAAAACUUAAAAAUGGUUAUUUGAGAGAAUUGCCUUAAAAUAAAACUAGCAAGUAAAGAUAAAAAUAAAAAUUAAUUUUUUUGUGUGAAUAAUCUUAAUUUACAUAUUUAAUUUUUCAAUUUUGGUGACAUUUACAACGAAAUAAAACAGAUAUUUAUUCAUUUAGGAUGUUGUCUUGUUCGAAAAAACAAUCCAACCGAUUAAUUUUUUUGUCUUAUACAAUCAAUAAAUUUAAUUUCAAGCAACAAGAAUGAAAAGAAAGAAAGGGACCAAAAAAAGCAAUAAAUUCAUACAUGAGGGAGGAGUAGAGAACAACCAACAAUUGAUAGAUCAUAAGAGCUUUUUAGUUGGUCUCUCCAGACAAAAUGUGGGUUUCAUAUUGAAUCAAUCAAUUGUUUUAGCAAAAUAAUAAUACUAGUAAAGAUCUUUUUCUUUAAUUAUGUCGGUUCAUGCUCACAGCUAUAUUAACAUUGUAUAUUCAUUUAAAGCUAUAUUAAGAGUAUUAAAAGAACGAACAGAGAGCAUCGUUGCUGUCUUCACAAAACAAGAUCGGCUCAAACCGUUUUUCUUCCCACUUUCUCUGUUUCACUGACUCUCCACUUACUCAAACAGAAAGGUAGUCAAAACUUUACUGAGUUUUUCCUCUUCAUCGACCCAGUUCCACCUCAACAAUGAACGAAGAGAUGAGCGGAGAGACGCCGGAGAAUAAACAUGUAAGUAGACCAACAUUGCCGGAAAAGAUCGACUACGUGUUCAAGGUGGUAGUGAUUGGUGACUCUGCGGUCGGAA